RNAcentral lists this ribosomal RNA (302 nucleotides) under uncultured soil bacterium. Its description in RNAcentral is "bacterial SSU rRNA". It matches the Rfam family "Bacterial small subunit ribosomal RNA", at positions 26 to 323 of the family's 1533-position model. The record is from RNAcentral.
AGAAUCAACGCUGGCGGCGUGCCUCAGACAUGCAAGUCGAACGAUUAAAGCUCUCUUCGGAGAGUGUAUAGAGUGGCGCACGGGUGAGUAACACGUAAGUAAUCUACCCUCGAGUGGGGAAUAACGUCCGGAAACGGACGCUAAUACCGCAUAAUGCAGCGGCACCGCAAGGUGACAGUUGUAAAGAUUUAUCGUCUUGAGGAGGAGCUUGCGGCAGAUUAGCUAGUUGGUAAGGUAAUGGCUUACCGAGGCUACGAUCGUGUAACCGGUCUAAGAGGACGGUCGGUCACACUGACACUGAA